Long non-coding RNA from Neopsephotus bourkii (Bourke's parrot), 525 nucleotides. RefSeq lists it as uncharacterized. NCBI's taxonomy places the organism in Eukaryota, Metazoa, Chordata, Aves, Psittaciformes, Psittacidae. The record is from RefSeq and is a predicted model, not a curated record. The transcript has 3 exons.
CAGAAAACAACCCAGAAGCAACUGAGAAAACGGCAUAAGGCAAUACAGGCAGAAGUACCAUUUUACUCAGUUGAAAUAUCAGCUAUGAGAGAAAAGAAAUUUGUAUUUGCUAAGAUCCAAUAAGAAAGGCAGCAAGCUGUUUGCUUUAUGAUAGCCUUGGGAAUAUUUAUUACUGCAAGUUUCCUAUUGUUUUCAUAUUUCUGAAAGGAACCUUAUGAAGUCUGGUCCAAGGAGUCAACUGGUGAGUUCACUGAUCCCACUUCUGUUUAUAGGUCAAAUAAACAUUGUCAAGGGUAAAAAAGCUGUUUGUCUUCACCAAGAAGCUGUGUAUGUAAUAUGACUGAAAUGAGGCAGCCACUACAGUAUGCAAAACAUUACACAGGCAUAAUUCAUAUUUCAUCAGGUCCUUUGCAUAGAAUGGAAUGGUUAAAGGGAAAAGUAAGUUAUAUUAAAUAUUUAAGAACCUGCCACAUCCCAGAAACACAUUAGCAAUGCAGUAAGCAGCUAGUAGAUUCUUACAGUUGG